This 439-nucleotide ribosomal RNA is filed under the name uncultured bacterium. Its description in RNAcentral is "partial 16S ribosomal RNA". It matches the Rfam family "Bacterial small subunit ribosomal RNA", at positions 339 to 795 of the family's 1533-position model. The record is from RNAcentral.
CUACGGGAUGCAGCAGUGAGGAAUAUUGCACAAUGGGGGGAACCCUGAUGCAGCAACGCCGCGUGGAGGAUGACGCAUUUCGGUGUGUAAACUCCUUUUAUAUGUCAAGAAAAUGACGGUAGCAUAUGAAUAAGCACCGGCUAACUCCGUGCCAGCAGCCGCGGUAAUACGGAGGGUGCAAGCGUUACUCGGAAUCACUGGGCGUAAAGGACGCGUAGGCGGGUUGGAAAGUCAGGUGUGAAAUCCUACAGCUUAACUGUAGAACUGCACUUGAAACUGCUAAUCUAGAGUAUGGGAGGGGGAGAUGGAAUUCGUGGUGUAGGGGUAAAAUCCGUAGAUAUCACUAGGAAUACCUAAAGCGAAGGCGAUCUCCUGGAACAUUACUGACGCUAAGGCGUGAAAGCGUGGGGAGCAAACAGGAUUAGAUACCCGAGUAGUC